GAUGAACGCUGGCGGCGUGCCUAAUACAUGCAAGUCGAGCGAACGGACGAGAAGCUUGCUUCUCUGAUGUUAGCGGCGGACGGGUGAGUAACACGUGGAUAACCUACCUAUAAGACUGGGAUAACUUCGGGAAACCGGAGCUAAUACCGGAUAAUAUUUGGAACCGCAUGGUUCAAAAGUGAAAGACGGUCUUCCUUCACUUAUAGAUGGAUCCGCGCUGCAUUAGCUAGUUGGUAAGGUAACGGCUUACCAAGGCAACGAUGCAUAGCCGACCUGAGAGGGUGAUCGGCCACACUGGAACUGAGACACGGUCCAGACUCCUACGGGAGGCAGCAGUAGGGAAUCUUCCGCAAUGGGCGAAAGCCUGACGGAGCAACGCCGCGUGAGUGAUGAAGGUCUUCGGAUCGUAAAACUCUGUUAUUAGGGAAGAACAUAUGUGUAAGUAACUGUGCACAUCUUGACGGUACCUAAUCAGAAAGCCACGGUUAACUACGUG
This 496-nucleotide ribosomal RNA is filed under the name uncultured bacterium. RNAcentral describes it as "partial 16S ribosomal RNA". It matches the Rfam family "Bacterial small subunit ribosomal RNA", at positions 28 to 507 of the family's 1533-position model. The record is from RNAcentral.